RNAcentral lists this ribosomal RNA (776 nucleotides) under Enterococcus faecium. RNAcentral describes it as "bacterial SSU rRNA". It matches the Rfam family "Bacterial small subunit ribosomal RNA", at positions 27 to 774 of the family's 1533-position model. Lineage: Bacteria; Bacillati; Bacillota; Bacilli; Lactobacillales; Enterococcaceae. The record is from RNAcentral.
GGACGAACGCUGGCGGCGUGCGUAAUACAUGCAAGUCGAACGCUUCUUUUUCCACCGGAGCUUGCUCCACCGGAAAAAGAGGAGUGGCGAACGGGUGAGUAACACGUGGGUAACCUGCCCAUCAGAAGGGGAUAACACUUGGAAACAGGUGCUAAUACCGUAUAACAAUCAAAACCGCAUGGUUUUGAUUUGAAAGGCGCUUUCGGGUGUCGCUGAUGGAUGGACCCGCGGUGCAUUAGCUAGUUGGUGAGGUAACGGCUCACCAAGGCCACGAUGCAUAGCCGACCUGAGAGGGUGAUCGGCCACAUUGGGACUGAGACACGGCCCAAACUCCUACGGGAGGCAGCAGUAGGGAAUCUUCGGCAAUGGACGAAAGUCUGACCGAGCAACGCCGCGUGAGUGAAGAAGGUUUUCGGAUCGUAAAACUCUGUUGUUAGAGAAGAACAAGGAUGAGAGUAACUGUUCAUCCCUUGACGGUAUCUAACCAGAAAGCCACGGCUAACUACGUGCCAGCAGCCGCGGUAAUACGUAGGUGGCAAGCGUUGUCCGGAUUUAUUGGGCGUAAAGCGAGCGCAGGCGGUUUCUUAAGUCUGAUGUGAAAGCCCCCGGCUCAACCGGGGAGGGUCAUUGGAAACUGGGAGACUUGAGUGCAGAAGAGGAGAGUGGAAUUCCAUGUGUAGCGGUGAAAUGCGUAGAUAUAUGGAGGAACACCAGUGGCGAAGGCGGCUCUCUGGUCUGUAACUGACGCUGAGGCUCGAAAGCGUGGGGAGCAAACA